UCACUCGCAUGGAGCAAGUUGCAAGGUUGUGAGAUAUUCUCUGGAGCGAUGCACAUAGCAAGAGCCAAGGGAGGCCUUCUGGCCAGCACCUCAUGAGGGACCAAGGCCUUGAUCCAAGAGCUACGAAGAAUGGAGUCUUGUCAAUUACACGGAAUCUUCGUUGGAUCCAGAGCUCCAGCUCCCAGUACAGAAGCCAAAGGAUGACAAACUUUCCUUUUCUCUACUCCUGGCAUUUAUAGUAUCAGUAGGCAUACAAGGGUUUAUUAAAGCAGAGACAAUGUGUCCCCAGUAAGUAGCACAGUACUUG
Hyaena hyaena (striped hyena) is the source of this 307-nucleotide long non-coding RNA. RefSeq lists it as uncharacterized. Lineage: Eukaryota; Metazoa; Chordata; Mammalia; Carnivora; Hyaenidae. The transcript has 3 exons. The record is from RefSeq and is a predicted model, not a curated record.